Molecule: ribosomal RNA, 543 nt
Filed under: uncultured bacterium
Lineage: Bacteria
Description: bacterial SSU rRNA
Rfam family: Bacterial small subunit ribosomal RNA
Source: RNAcentral
AAUAGAUACCCAGGUAGUCCACGCCGUAAACGAUGAGUGCUAAGUGUUAGGGGGUUUCCGCCCCUUAGUGCUGCAGCUAACGCAUUAAGCACUCCGCCUGGGGAGUACGGUCGCAAGACUGAAACUCAAAGGAAUUGACGGGGGCCCGCACAAGCGGUGGAGCAUGUGGUUUAAUUCGAAGCAACGCGAAGAACCUUACCAGGUCUUGACAUCCCAUUGACCGCUAUGGAGACAUAGCUUUCCCUUCGGGGACAGUGGUGACAGGUGGUGCAUGGUUGUCGUCAGCUCGUGUCGUGAGAUGUUGGGUUAAGUCCCGCAACGAGCGCAACCCUUGUUCUUAGUUGCCAUCAUUUAGUUGGGCACUCUAAGGAGACUGCCGGUGACAAACCGGAGGAAGGCGGGGAUGACGUCAAAUCAUCAUGCCCCUUAUGACCUGGGCUACACACGUGCUACAAUGGACGGUACAAACGGUUGCCAACCGCGAGGGGAGCUAAGUCCGAUAAACCGUUCUCUAGUUACGGAUUGUAGGCUGCAACUCGCUAC